Molecule: ribosomal RNA, 450 nt
Filed under: uncultured bacterium
Lineage: Bacteria
Description: partial 16S ribosomal RNA
Rfam family: Bacterial small subunit ribosomal RNA
Source: RNAcentral
GUGGGGAAUAUUGGACAAUGGGCGAAAGCCUGAUCCAGCCAUGCCGCGUGUGUGAAGAAGGUCUUCGGAUUGUAAAGCACUUUAAGUUGGGAGGAAGGGCAGUAAGCUAAUACCUUGCUGUUUUGACGUUACCGACAGAAUAAGCACCGGCUAACUUCGUGCCAGCAGCCGCGGUAAUACGAAGGGUGCAAGCGUUAAUCGGAAUUACUGGGCGUAAAGCGCGCGUAGGUGGUUUUGUAAGUUGAAGGUGAAAUCCCCGGGCUCAACCUGGGAACUGCCUCCAAAACUGCAUGACUAGAGUACGGUAGAGGGUAGUGGAAUUUCCUGUGUAGCGGUGAAAUGCGUAGAUAUAGGAAGGAACACCAGUGGCGAAGGCGACUACCUGGACUGAUACUGACACUGAGGUGCGAAAGCGUGGGGAGCAAACAGGAUUAGAUACCCCAGUAGUCC